GAUGAACGCUGGCGGCGUGCCUAAUACAUGCAAGUCGAGCGAAUGGAUUAAGAGCUUGCUCUUAUGAAGUUAGCGGCGGACGGGUGAGUAACACGUGGGUAACCUGCCCAUAAGACUAGGAUAACUCCGGGAAACCGGGGCUAAUACCGGAUAACAUUUUGAACCGCAUGGUUCGAAAUUGAAAGGCGGCUUCGGCUGCCACUUAUGGAUGGACCCGCGUCGCAUUAGCUAGUUGGCGAGGUAACGGCUCACCAAGGCAAGGAUGCGUAGCCGACCUGAGAGGGUGAUCGGCCACGCUGGGACUGAGACACGGCCCAGACUCCUACGGGAGGCAGCAGUAGGGAAUCUUCCGCAAUGGACGAAAGUCUGACGGAGCAACGCCGCGUGAGUGAUGGAGGCUUUCGGGUCGUAAAACUCUGUUGUUAGGGAAGAACAAGUGCUAGUUGAAUAAGCUGGCACCUUGACGGUACCUAACCAGAAAGCCACGGCUAACUACGUGCCAGCAGCCGCGGUAA
This 515-nucleotide ribosomal RNA is filed under the name uncultured bacterium. Its description in RNAcentral is "partial 16S ribosomal RNA". It matches the Rfam family "Bacterial small subunit ribosomal RNA", at positions 28 to 523 of the family's 1533-position model. The record is from RNAcentral.